This 253-nucleotide ribosomal RNA is filed under the name uncultured bacterium. Its description in RNAcentral is "partial 16S ribosomal RNA". It matches the Rfam family "Bacterial small subunit ribosomal RNA", at positions 524 to 776 of the family's 1533-position model. The record is from RNAcentral.
UACGUAGGCAGCGAGCGUUGUUCGGAAUUACUGGGCGUAAAGAGUGUGUAGGCGGUGUUCCCAGUCUGUUGUGAAAUCUCCCGGCUUAACUGGGAGGGUGCAGCGGAAACUAGAAUGCUAGAGGGUGGGAGAGGUAAGCGGAAUUCCUGGUGUAGCGGUGAAAUGCGUAGAUAUCAGGAGGAACACCUGCGGUGUAGACGGCUUUCUGGACCAUUGUUGACGCUGAGACACGAAAGCGUGGGUAGCAAACAGG